GUAUUGAGAGCUUCAUAAUCACCCAACUGUGCAACAAAAUAUGUGUGGAGAGGCUGCAGAGGAUAUAUAAUGAUUUUGAACAAGUUACAGAGUUUCGCGGGUCGGGUUGAAAAAGUGGUGGGGGUAAACAGGUUCCUGGGUUUUUAGGGGCGCUUAGGCGCGCCUAUAGUGGAGAACAUGCCUCAAUUACUUAACUAGAUUUAGUUAAGCUUGGGCAUGGCCCCCCUAAGUGCGAGCGUGUUAUUUUCGUGGGUCGGGUUCACAACGCUAGUUCGUGAGUGGUUGUAAGGAUGACACCAGUGUAUGGUGUUUAUGCAUCUUGAGAGC
RNAcentral lists this small RNA (327 nucleotides) under Histoplasma capsulatum. RNAcentral describes it as "hypothetical RNA". The record is from RNAcentral. RNAcentral also lists the same sequence under 1 other name. Lineage: Eukaryota; Fungi; Ascomycota; Eurotiomycetes; Onygenales; Ajellomycetaceae.